This 2161-nucleotide long non-coding RNA is filed under the name Mastacembelus armatus (zig-zag eel). Its description in RNAcentral is "lncRNA (ENSMAMG00000026300.1)". The record is from RNAcentral. Lineage: Eukaryota; Metazoa; Chordata; Actinopteri; Synbranchiformes; Mastacembelidae.
UGUCGGCGGUCGGUGCCUGGAGAAAGAGCAGGGCGGUUUUUACUGACAACCCUCCUGGAAGGAGAAACCAGCGAGGCCGAGAGGAGGAAGAAAAACACCCACUGCACUGUGGUGGACUCCCCGGGCCUGGAAACGUGAAGCAGCGAGCGGACACCGAGCUCCCGGUACCGGCUGAGGUAGCUAACAUUAGCCCGGACAGGCGCAGUCAGAGCCCGGGCUCCGUGUCAACAUGAGCUCGCUGGUCCACCGCCAGCCGCACUCGUCCCCAAUCACACAGAAAGUGCAGCUAACUUACAAACUGUUUUUGCUGGAAAAUGCCCGGAAUAUACUUGAAGAGGAACUGCGAAGGUUCACCAACAAGGCCCAUGAAGAAGUCCAGGGUUUCUUGAAUUCCUCUUUUCCCACCACUGUUUUCAGUGAUCUUGCUAUGGCUUUGGAUAUGAAAUGUCAAGCUGUUCACAAGCUCACGGCUUUAUUAAAGGAUGUCACCACUGAGCCACAGGUUUGUGUGCAGUCUAGUGUCAGUAACGAAGAGCGGCGAUACCAACUGCAGCCACUCAGAGACAAACAAACGCUGAUGAGAGAUGCUUUCAAGUUUGGGCCGAUGUUACAGAACAUGCUCAUGGCGAGUUCCAUAGGCAAAGCGGUCCAGGUGCUUGCAGGCACAAUGUCCGUUCAGCAGUUAAAACAUUUCCUCAUCUCCCCGCCUGCAGUGGCCCAGGAGGAUGAUGCGAUUUGCAGCAUGUCAUCCAGCUACAACUGUGCAGUUCAGACUAGGAGCUUGUCAUGUCAUUUAAAGGCUGAAGAAAAAGAACAACCUGUUAUUUUUGAGAAGAAACGCCAGCCAGAUGAUGUGAUUCUGGCACCUACCAUUAUUCAGUGUCCUGAGAUUAAUGCUUCGAGGCCACUACUACCUCCCAUACAGGAUAUACUCCCAGAGAUCAGUAAUUCUAAACCCAUGAAAAUAACACCACUAAUUAGCUGGGGAUGGGAGGAUGAUAUCCAAGUGCAACACCCAAAACAAACAUCCUCUGAGCUGCUGCACUUCCUCAAAGUCAGUGCUAAAAAGAUGAGUGCUCUGGAGGUCACGCCCAUGGAGUGGAGUCCAAGUAAAGACAGACACACAGGUUCUCCACAGUCAUCGUCACCUACAGUCAAAGCAGAAAGCUCUCAUUUCAGUCACAAUGUGAGAGAUGAUCUGAUCAAGGAACUAUCUCAGAAAACACUGUGUGCAGACGGGGAAAAUGAAGGCCAAGUCUUCAGAGUAAAGCAAGUGGAACCAAGUGGCUCUGUGAUAUACACUUAUGUGAUUGCGACAAAGACUGAAUUGUGGGAUGUUGUAGACAUCGUAACACAGGUAGGACAGGAGGAUUCUGGUGAUAGACCCUUGGAGGAAAAAGAGGAUUGUAGAAACAUAACAGCUCAGGUGGGCAAUAUCCCCUGCACAGAACCAGAAAAAGAGAACAAUUCUACUGGCGUAAAAACACCAGCUAUCAACAAGAUAGCUAUUCCUGAUUUCCACAUCCGGAGGUUUGAAGAGAUUGAGGUUGUGGUGUCUCAUGUUGUCAGCCCAAGCUACUUCUACAUACAGCACACCGACUCCAUCACAAAGCUGCAGGGCCUUGUCACAGACAGCUGGAAAGCCAGUAGUUCAUAUGCCUUGCAGAACUGCAUUCCAGACAUUGGAACCCAAGUAAUGGGUUGGUUCCCGAUGCAAAAACAAUGGUGCAGGGCUCAAGUGACGAAAAUAUGUGGAGUAAGUAGAGAUGAUGUUGGGUGUGAGUCAUCCAUCAAGGUGGAGGUGAAGAGGUUGGAUUACGGUGACACUGCCAUCCUGUCACUGUUGAACACAAAGCAGCUGACCUCAGACAUGGCUGCCCUGUCACUUCAAGCUCUCCAGGUCUCACUGGCAAAUGUGACGCCUGUGAACGGAAGUGAUUGGUCUGAGGAGGCAAUAGGCUGGUUCAAAGCAAUGGUAGACAGCAGGACGUUUUAUGCCCGACUUUACCCGCAGGGGCCCAAAGUUACAGUUGAGCUGUUCUUGGAAAAGGGAAAGCUUGGCGCUAUGAGGUACUUAAGUGUGAAUAACAUUAAUUGUGAAUUGCACUGUUAGUAUUAACAGACUCGUAAAUGGCAAAAUCAGAUGAAGUCAUCAAGAUUU